This 27-nucleotide non-coding RNA is filed under the name Homo sapiens (human). Lineage: Eukaryota; Metazoa; Chordata; Mammalia; Primates; Hominidae. The record is from RNAcentral.
UGCAGUAUCGCCACAUUUGACAAUGCC